This is a non-coding RNA of Dipodomys ordii (Ord's kangaroo rat), 70 nucleotides long. Lineage: Eukaryota; Metazoa; Chordata; Mammalia; Rodentia; Heteromyidae. The record is from Rfam.
GGGAAGGUAGCUCAGUGGUAGAGCACUUGCCUUGCAUGCAUGAAGCCCUGGGUUCGAUUCCUCAGCACCA